UGCCGCUUUUAUCUUCUACUCACCUACCCAGAGGUUUUCUUCAUUCUACACAAAUACAGAGAUCAGAGAUCGAUACAGAAAUAGAGCGGGUCAACAUCUUCCUGUUAGUCAAAAACCACUGCCAUCACAAUUUUGGGGGUCAUAAUAUUUUCAAAACCAUUCAUCUCUCUCUCUCUUUCACCUCAAAGAUACAAAUCGAGAUCUAGGAGGCAAUCAGAUCAGUGUUUCAAAUUUAGCCCUUGUUGGUGCAUUUAUGACUAAACCGGAAGCUGGGUCACCUGUCACCAAGAUCCCUUCAUAGAAAGGAAAAUGGAGUUUUUGAUUGAAAGCGUGGAUGAUCUCUCAAUGGAACAUUAAAAGUUCUAUUUUUUCUAUCACAGUCUGUCACGUCAACAAGCCUAGCAAGAAACAUGGCUUCAAAAGUGAAGGGCUGAAAUAAUGGCCCAUGUUAAGCAUAGAAGUUGGGGGGUAUUGGUACUAGAGAUAUUAGAAGUGCUAAUCUUAUGUUGCUAGCAAAAUGGAUGUGGAAACUUAAAGACAGGCCUACGACUUUAUGGGUUAAGGUGGUGGUUCCGAUCAAUGGUAGUUCAAGAGUGGUUGGGCAAUUCCCCCUGAAAAAACGGUAUUUGUGAGAUGUGGAAAGACAUCUGCUCUGUUGAGAAAAGUUUUAUGCUUUGAGCCUUCCAAUUGGCGACGGGGGUAAAACUAUGUUUUGGAUGGAUAACUGGGUUGAGGGCGGUCCCUUGUGGAGGAGAUUCCCGGCGGGUUUUGUACGCGCUAAAAAUAAAGAGGUUGUGGUUUCUUAGUGUAGAACGAUAUUGGGCGAGGGAUGGGUCUGGUCUUAGGAAUGGAAAACGAGUUCAAGUUCCGAAGCCUUCUGGUCACAGUUUGACACACUAGCAGCUUGUCUUGGGGCUGUGCAGAUCAGAGACGGGGCAGACAGAUGGACUUGGGGGUCUUACUCUGAUGUAAACUUCACGAUGGCGGGUGUCUGAGCAGACAUUGUC
RNAcentral lists this long non-coding RNA (1007 nucleotides) under Helianthus annuus (common sunflower). RNAcentral's name for it is "hypothetical non coding rna". The record is from RNAcentral. Lineage: Eukaryota; Viridiplantae; Streptophyta; Magnoliopsida; Asterales; Asteraceae.